RNAcentral lists this unclassified non-coding RNA (201 nucleotides) under Hevea brasiliensis (rubber tree). Lineage: Eukaryota; Viridiplantae; Streptophyta; Magnoliopsida; Malpighiales; Euphorbiaceae. The record is from RNAcentral.
AAGCAUAAACCUGAAAGGAGACAAGAUCACUUCAAAAAGUCAGUGAUGAUAAUCCUACUUCUGCAAAUAUCUAAAAAUUACAUGUCUGAAGCAAAAAAAUUCCUUUUCAUCCUAUCCUUUUUCCCCUUUCUGUGCAACUAAUUUCCCAGCAAACUCACCAGCAUUAGGAACCGAAAACAUACCUCAUUUGUUUCUGAACCA